This 230-nucleotide ribosomal RNA is filed under the name uncultured bacterium. Its description in RNAcentral is "partial 16S ribosomal RNA". It matches the Rfam family "Bacterial small subunit ribosomal RNA", at positions 568 to 796 of the family's 1533-position model. The record is from RNAcentral.
UGCGCAGGCGGGGCAAUAAGUCAGUGGUGAAAUCCUGCGGCUUAACCGUAGAACUGCCAUUGAUACUGUUGCCCUUGAGUAUAGUUGAGGUGGGCGGAAUAUGUAAUGUAGCGGUGAAAUGCAUAGAUAUUACAUAGAACACCAAUUGCGAAGGCAGCUCACUAAGCUAUCACUGACGCUGAGGCACGAAAGCGUGGGGAGCGAACAGGAUUAGAUACCCCUGGUAGUCC